GCCAGCUGUUGAAGGAAGGGAGCGUCACCGUUAUGGACAAAAUGGCCUAUGCACCUUACGCCUAUCUGGGGGACGUCUGGAUCUCUUACGAGAACGUCGAGAGUGUCGUUCUAAAGUGCCUGUGGGCGGAUUCGGUUGGCCUUGGCGGUGUCAUGACAUACGCUAUUGGUAUGGACGACUGGGAAGGAAAAUGUGACAACAAUACCAAGUUCCCAAUACACAAAGCAAUCUGGAAGACCAUCGGCUGAGGAGCACUUCAGUGGUAUUACUUAAUACUUGUAGGUUCUGCCAGAUGGCCAGUGUAUGAAUUACCAUAUGAAUUAAGGUAAGGAGAUAACGAAAAAGCCUGUCAGAGCAAGACCCGUUGUAAACGUUUGACGAGAGAUACGCUGUUGAUACUAAAUAAAGACGGCAUUCCUUGUUUUCUA
Molecule: long non-coding RNA, 428 nt
Organism: Rhipicephalus microplus (southern cattle tick)
Lineage: Eukaryota; Metazoa; Arthropoda; Arachnida; Ixodida; Ixodidae
Source: RefSeq, a predicted model, not a curated record